This is a long non-coding RNA of Felis catus (domestic cat), 1705 nucleotides long. RefSeq lists it as uncharacterized. The record is from RefSeq and is a predicted model, not a curated record. NCBI's taxonomy places the organism in Eukaryota, Metazoa, Chordata, Mammalia, Carnivora, Felidae. The transcript is spliced from 3 exons.
GAAGAAUGUGACCAGUAGCCAGAACAGUCAAUGAGGAGAGGAGAAGGGACUUCCAAGACAAAAGGAAGGGGAGCAAAGGUAAUUGCUAUCUGGUAAUUGCCCCAUGUCAUACAUGGGAAUACAACAGAGAACAAAUGGACAAAGUCGCUGCUGUCAUGGAGGGGAGAUGAAAAAGUAGCACAGAGAGCUCAUCUCCAUGAAAGGCUGCAAAUACCAGAUGCCUGCCUUUCAGUCAACGCAUGAACGAGUCGUUCAAAAAUCCCCACAAUGGUUCCAUAAGUUGUAGCUUACGGCCAGAUAGAUGGGAAAAGGGAGAGACCGCAAGUCACGAGCCAGUCAGGAGGCUUUCACUGGAUUCUAGAACAGAGGUAAGGUAUGUCUGAAGAGCAGUAAUGGUCAUAGGACAAGAGAUAUGGGUUGAGCGAGGCAGAGAUGACAGACAUGGAAGUGACAGGUUCUGGGAACUGGAUGUGAGCAGAAAGGGAGAGAGGAAUCAGCUGAGGAGGUGGUGAGUGGGAGAGUGACAGAACCUUCUGGAGCAAGGGCCACAGUGUGGCUAGAAAAAAAUGAAUCUGGUGAGGUGGUGGCUGUGAGGUGGUGGCCAUUAGUUCAAUAUGGAGUACAUCAACAUGCAAGGGAAGGGAAAAGAUUCCCAUCUUGAGAGACUAUCUAAAAGGCAAGAAUAGAAACUCACCAGACUUGUUCACAGAUCUGGUCUAUGUAUAGGUUAUUCAUUCUACCCCCCCACUCCCUCCACCUCUCCCCCCCCCUCCCCCACCCCAUGCUCUUUGCCUGGCAAACUCCUAUUUAUUCUUCUACACUCAGAUUAAUUCCCAACUCCUCAGUGAAGCCUCCUUAUCCUACCCUGACGCAGAAUUUGUUCCUUUCCUAUGUUCCCAGAGCCUUUCGUGGACACCUGAAUCCUAUCAUUUGCCACACACAAUGCAUUGUCAUUUCCCUGCUCCCUCCCUCUUCAGUGUUAGACUGCAGGUGCCCUCCCUAGAGACCAGCUUAAUGCUUUUUGUAUUCCUGGCAUUUAAUACUGUGCCUAGAAGAUAUAAUAGGUAAUCACCAAAUCAGUGAUGAAUGAACAAGUGAAUAAAUGAAUGAAAUAUUGAUCAUAGAAAAAAGGUAGAGGUUAAAAGUGUUAGCAGAGAGUGAUGAAAUUUUGAAACAUUUAAGUUAGGAUAUUUUGACAUCCAUGGAGAAUGGUGGAGUAGAUGAGGUUAUCCUUGGCAACUCUUAGAUUCUAUAUGUGGAAGGAGGAGAUCUAAAUCUGAGCUGACAUCAGAUAUGAAGAGGGAUUACAGUCAUUACCUGAGAAUAGCUCAAGAAGGGUGCUGAGAAGUGAGUGAAAUAUUUGAUGAAGGUGAAAGCCAGAGCCCACAGAGAACCUGAAGGUCAGGAAAUCAGGAGAAUAAGUCUUUAGGAUUUUCUGGAAACAUAGCAGUCACAUUUUAUGAUGCAAUCGUGGCGAUGCAAUCAUGGAAAUCUUACAUACUCAACGUUGGUUUUUCCAUAGGACUCAAUGUAAGGGGGGGGGGUGUUCAUUCUCGGCUGUCAGGUGUAUAAACGUGAUAGUUUUGUAUCAUUUUUCAGGGGGGGCUGAUCUUGCAGCCAGGCCAAUGGCAUUUUUUUCAUUGUUUCCAUUCUUCUCCCCCUUUCUGAGGACAAUUUGAGAAGAUUAAAGUUAUGCUGGCUAUAA